GCUGGAAUAGCUCAGUUGGUAGAGCAACUGUUUUGUAAACAGUCGGUCCUGGGUUCGAGUCCCAGUUCCAGCU
This 73-nucleotide transfer RNA is filed under the name Candidatus Dojkabacteria bacterium. RNAcentral's name for it is "tRNA-Thr". It matches the Rfam family "tRNA". From Rfam's summary of the family: Transfer RNA (tRNA) molecules are approximately 80 nucleotides in length. Their secondary structure includes four short double-helical elements and three loops (D, anti-codon, and T loops). The record is from RNAcentral.